GCCACAGCGGCAGCCGCGGGCAACAGCCUCGGGAGUCGGAGCUAGAACGGCCGGGGGCGGCGGCGGCGGCUGUGAGGGAUCUAAAAUGUCCACUGAGGCACAAAGAGUUGAUGACAGUCCAAGCACUAGUGGAGGAAGUUCUGAUGGAGACCAACGUGAAAGUGUUCAGCAAGAACCAGAAAGAGAGCAAGUUCAGCCCAAGAAAAAGGAGGGGAAAAUAUCCAGCAAAACAGCUGCUAAAUUGUCCACUAGUGCUAAAAGAAUUCAGAAGGAACUUGCAGAAAUUACGUUGGACCCUCCUCCCAACUGUAGGU
This is a long non-coding RNA of Galeopterus variegatus (Sunda flying lemur), 314 nucleotides long. RefSeq lists it as uncharacterized. NCBI's taxonomy places the organism in Eukaryota, Metazoa, Chordata, Mammalia, Dermoptera, Cynocephalidae. The transcript has 3 exons. The record is from RefSeq and is a predicted model, not a curated record.